GUCGGAGUACAUAGAACAGCUGAGGUAGCGUUCAGUUUCAGCCCCCAUGCCAUUAUGAUGGAUGUUUACAUCUCUACAUUGAGAGCCAAUUAUCUCGCUUUUGUGUGAGGCCCAAGGAUCACUCAUGCUGCCUGGCUGCACAGAGCACUGUUGGAUCUAGCCGAACGAAUUGUUUUCUGUCUCUGAGAUAUGAAUAUGGAAAGAAGCUGAACGAACUGAAGCAGUAGUCUUGGUCUGCUCCAGAAGCCUGAUGAAAGAAAAGGUUUUAAUAGGUCACUUUAAAGCAUUUUAUGAAUGAUACAUUAUUGCUUAUAAUUUGACCACAGACUAAUAUCACAAAUAUAGUUAAUAUUCACUUUAUAUUUACUAUCAGCUAGGCUGUGUGAUAGAUAAGCACUUUACAUUUUCCCCUUUUACUCCCAGAAGUCCUAAGAAAUGUAAACAAUUUAUUAUCACCAUUUUAUUAAUAAGGAAACAUAGAAUUAGCAGAAUUUCACAUACUAAUAAGUGAUUGAACUGGGAUAUAAAGUUAAAGUAGGUGAUUUAUUUGCAGAACUUUUAUCCAUGUUGUUUUGUCAAAUACGUACAUUUCCAUUUGUUCACCUGUAUGUAGGUAUUUAUGUGUGCUUCUGUAUGUGAUGUGUGUUUUGUACAUGCCUAUGUUUAUAAUAAACUAUAUAUCCACACAUUCUUCU
This 695-nucleotide long non-coding RNA is filed under the name Chinchilla lanigera (long-tailed chinchilla). RNAcentral describes it as "lncRNA (ENSCLAG00000023113.1)". Lineage: Eukaryota; Metazoa; Chordata; Mammalia; Rodentia; Chinchillidae. The record is from RNAcentral.